GACGAACGCUGGCGGCGUGCCUAAUACAUGCAAGUAGAACGCUGAAACUUGGUGCUUGCACCGAGCGGAUGAGUUGCGAACGGGUGAGUAACUCGUAGGUAACCUGCCUGGUAGCGGGGGAUAACUAUUGGAAACGAUAGCUAAUACCGCAUAAGAGUAGAUGUUGCAUGACAUUUGCUUAAAAGGUGCAAUUGCACCACUACCAGAUGGACCUGCGUUGUAUUAGCUAGUUGGUGGGGUAACGGCUCACCAAGGCGACGAUACAUAGCCGACCUGAGAGGGUGAUCGGCCACACUGAGACUGAGACACGGCCCAGACUCCUACGGGAGGCAGCAGUAGGGAAUCUUCGGCAAUGGACGGAAGUCUGACCGAGCAACGCCGCGUGAGUGAAGAAGGUUUUCGGAUCGUAAAGCUCUGUUGUAAGAGAAGAACGAGUGUGAGAGUGGAAAGUUCACACUGUGACGGUAUCUUACCAGAAAGGGACGGCUAACUACGUG
This 497-nucleotide ribosomal RNA is filed under the name uncultured bacterium. RNAcentral's name for it is "partial 16S ribosomal RNA". It matches the Rfam family "Bacterial small subunit ribosomal RNA", at positions 28 to 507 of the family's 1533-position model. The record is from RNAcentral.